CCUACGGGAGGCAGCAGUGGGGAAUAUUGCACAAUGGGGGAAACCCUGAUGCAGCGACGCCGCGUGAGCGAUGAAGUAUUUCUGUAUGUAAAGCUCUAUCAGCAGGGAAGAAAAUGACGGUACCUGACUAAGAAACCCCGGCUAACUACGUGCCAGCCGCCGCGGUCAUACGUAGGGGGCAAGCGUUAUCCGGAUUUACUGGGUGUAAAGGGAGCGUAGACGGUCCUGCAAGCCAGAUGUGAAAGCCCGGGGCUCAACCCCGGGACUGCAUUUGUAACUGUAAGGCUAGAGUGUCGGAGAGGCAGGCGGAAUUCCUAGUGUAGCGGUGAAAUGCGGAGAUAUUAGGAGGAACACCAGUGGCGAAGGCGGCCUGCUGGACGAUGACUGACGUUGAGACUCGAAAGCGUGGGGAGCAAACAGGAUUAGAUACCCUAGUAGUC
This 440-nucleotide ribosomal RNA is filed under the name uncultured bacterium. Its description in RNAcentral is "partial 16S ribosomal RNA". It matches the Rfam family "Bacterial small subunit ribosomal RNA", at positions 338 to 795 of the family's 1533-position model. The record is from RNAcentral.